AAUAUCUCUGGAGAGUCUCUCGAUAGUAGAGCGCCGAAGGUGUACCACAGAUGCAUCGAGCAUUUGUGAAUCUCUCAGGCAAAAGGACAGAGCAUA
This 96-nucleotide non-coding RNA is filed under the name human gut metagenome. RNAcentral describes it as "Glycine riboswitch". It matches the Rfam family "Glycine riboswitch aptamer", at positions 9 to 86 of the family's 94-position model. Rfam says of the family: This family represents the bacterial glycine riboswitch. Glycine riboswitches usually consist of two metabolite-binding aptamers domains with similar structures in tandem. The record is from RNAcentral.